UGGGGAAUAUUGGACAAUGGGCGCAAGCCUGAUCCAGCCAUGCCGCGUGAGUGAUGAAGGCCCUAGGGUUGUAAAGCUCUUUCACCGGUGAAGAUAAUGACGGUAACCGGAGAAGAAGCCCCGGCUAACUUCGUGCCAGCAGCCGCGGUAAUACGAAGGGGGCUAGCGUUGUUCGGAUUUACUGGGCGUAAAGCGCACGUAGGCGGACUAUUAAGUCAGGGGUGAAAUCCCGGGGCUCAACCCCGGAACUGCCUUUGAUACUGGUAGUCUUGAGUUCGAGAGAGGUGAAUGGAAUUCCGAGUGUAGAGGUGAAAUUCGUAGAUAUUCGGAGGAACACCAGUGGCGAAGGCGGCUCACUGGCUCGAUACUGACGCUGAGGUGCGAAAGCGUGAGGAGCAAACAGG
This 404-nucleotide ribosomal RNA is filed under the name Actinomycetes bacterium. RNAcentral's name for it is "Actinobacteria bacterium partial 16S ribosomal RNA". It matches the Rfam family "Bacterial small subunit ribosomal RNA", at positions 355 to 776 of the family's 1533-position model. The record is from RNAcentral. Lineage: Bacteria; Bacillati; Actinomycetota; Actinomycetes.